This 528-nucleotide ribosomal RNA is filed under the name uncultured bacterium. Its description in RNAcentral is "bacterial SSU rRNA". It matches the Rfam family "Bacterial small subunit ribosomal RNA", at positions 979 to 1509 of the family's 1533-position model. The record is from RNAcentral.
UCUUGACAUCCAGAGAACUUCCAGAGAUGGAUGGGUGCCUUCGGGAACUCUGAGACAGGUGCUGCAUGGCUGUCGUCAGCUCGUGUUGUGAAAUGUUGGGUUAAGUCCGCAACGAGCGCAACCCCUAUCCUUUGUUGCCAGCGAUUCGGUCGGGAACUCAAAGGAGACUGCCGGUGAUAAACCGGAGGAAGGUGGGGAUGACGUCAAGUCAUCAUGGCCCUUACGAGUAGGGCUACACACGUGCUACAAUGGCGUAUACAAAGAGAAGCGACCUCGCGAGAGCAAGCGGACCUCAUAAAGUACGUCGUAGUCCGGAUUGGAGUCUGCAACUCGACUCCAUGAAGUCGGAAUCGCUAGUAAUCGUAGAUCAGAAUGCUACGGUGAAUACGUUCCCGGGCCUUGUACACACCGCCCGUCACACCAUGGGAGUGGGUUGCAAAAGAAGUAGAUAGCUUAACCUUCGGGAGGGCGUUUACCACUUUGUGAUUCAUGACUGGGGUGAAGUCGUAACAAGGUAGGCGUAGCGAG